CAGUCGCCACGGUAAUACAGAGGGUGCGAGCGUUAAUCGGAUUUACUGGGCGUAAAGCGUGCGUAGGCGGCUUCUUAAGUCGGAUGUGAAAUCCCUGAGCUUAACUUAGGAAUUGCAUUCGAUACUGGGAAGCUAGAGUAUGGGAGAGGAUGGUAGAAUUCCAGGUGUAGCGGUGAAAUGCGUAGAGAUCUGGAGGAAUACCGAUGGCGAAGGCAGCCAUCUGGCCUAAUACUGACGCUGAGGUACGAAAGCAUGGGGAGCAAACAGGAUUAGAGACCCCGGUAGUCCCUGUCUCUUAUAU
Molecule: ribosomal RNA, 301 nt
Filed under: uncultured bacterium
Lineage: Bacteria
Description: partial 16S ribosomal RNA
Rfam family: Bacterial small subunit ribosomal RNA
Source: RNAcentral